This 157-nucleotide ribosomal RNA is filed under the name Ciboria betulae. Its description in RNAcentral is "5.8S ribosomal RNA". It matches the Rfam family "5.8S ribosomal RNA". Rfam says of the family: 5.8S ribosomal RNA (5.8S rRNA) is a component of the large subunit of the eukaryotic ribosome. Lineage: Eukaryota; Fungi; Ascomycota; Leotiomycetes; Helotiales; Sclerotiniaceae. The record is from RNAcentral.
AACUUUCAACAACGGAUCUCUUGGUUCUGGCAUCGAUGAAGAACGCAGCGAAAUGCGAUAAGUAAUGUGAAUUGCAGAAUUCAGUGAAUCAUCGAAUCUUUGAACGCACAUUGCGCCCCUUGGUAUUCCGGGGGGCAUGCCUGUUCGAGCGUCAUCU